CCGGAGGGUGCGGGGCGGCGCGGCGUCGGCCGCUCCGGGCGGCCGGGAUCGCCGGGACGACUGCGUCGUGGUCACGUACGGUCUCCGGC
RNAcentral lists this transfer RNA (89 nucleotides) under Cellulosimicrobium cellulans. Its description in RNAcentral is "tRNA-Arg". The record is from RNAcentral. Lineage: Bacteria; Bacillati; Actinomycetota; Actinomycetes; Micrococcales; Promicromonosporaceae.